This 703-nucleotide ribosomal RNA is filed under the name Variovorax sp. R135(2010). RNAcentral describes it as "bacterial SSU rRNA". It matches the Rfam family "Bacterial small subunit ribosomal RNA", at positions 62 to 760 of the family's 1533-position model. The record is from RNAcentral. Lineage: Bacteria; Pseudomonadati; Pseudomonadota; Betaproteobacteria; Burkholderiales; Comamonadaceae.
UCGAACGGCAGCGCGGGAGCAAUCCUGGCGGCGAGUGGCGAACGGGUGAGUAAUACAUCGGAACGUGCCCAAUCGUGGGGGAUAACGCAGCGAAAGCUGUGCUAAUACCGCAUACGAUCUACGGAUGAAAGCAGGGGACCGCAAGGCCUUGCGCGAAUGGAGCGGCCGAUGGCAGAUUAGGUAGUUGGUGAGGUAAAGGCUCACCAAGCCUUCGAUCUGUAGCUGGUCUGAGAGGACGACCAGCCACACUGGGACUGAGACACGGCCCAGACUCCUACGGGAGGCAGCAGUGGGGAAUUUUGGACAAUGGGCGCAAGCCUGAUCCAGCCAUGCCGCGUGCAGGAUGAAGGCCUUCGGGUUGUAAACUGCUUUUGUACGGAACGAAACGGCCUUUUCUAAUAAAGAGGGCUAAUGACGGUACCGUAAGAAUAAGCACCGGCUAACUACGUGCCAGCAGCCGCGGUAAUACGUAGGGUGCAAGCGUUAAUCGGAAUUACUGGGCGUAAAGCGUGCGCAGGCGGUGAUGUAAGACAGUUGUGAAAUCCCCGGGCUCAACCUGGGAACUGCAUCUGUGACUGCAUCGCUGGAGUACGGCAGAGGGGGAUGGAAUUCCGCGUGUAGCAGUGAAAUGCGUAGAUAUGCGGAGGAACACCGAUGGCGAAGGCAAUCCCCUGGGCCUGUACUGACGCUCAUGCACGAAAGC